RNAcentral lists this unclassified non-coding RNA (349 nucleotides) under Hevea brasiliensis (rubber tree). The record is from RNAcentral. Lineage: Eukaryota; Viridiplantae; Streptophyta; Magnoliopsida; Malpighiales; Euphorbiaceae.
AGAAUGGAAGACAUGGACCGAGACUAUAACGGUCAGUAAUAAAAGAGCAAGAGAUAACAUGAAUAACAUAAAGUCAAGGCCUAAACUCUACCCAUACACUAAAAGCAUGACCAAUUUGAGUGCCCUGGCAACAGAUUUGUGUUUCUUCUACUUGUUGGCCUUAGUUCAUUGUUAUCAGAAUCUAGAUCUCCUGUUUUGUGGUCUAGCAUCACUCUCUGGUCGAUUGGUCCUCCUACUACCAUAGCUUGGAGACCAAUCCAUUGGGGAAGGCACAGACUCACUCAGGAAAGAGAGACAGAGCUCAAGUUCGACAUCCACUGAAAUUUCCAAUCCCGCAUCAGCCUCUGAG